GGCGGGUGCAAAGGUAGUGAGUAAUUUCAGUUAAUUGUUCACAGGCAGGUACAGAUCGAUCUCCUUGUUCUACUCUUUCCCUCCUUCUUACUACCACUCCUGAGUAGUCUUAA
Pan paniscus (pygmy chimpanzee) is the source of this 113-nucleotide unclassified non-coding RNA. It matches the Rfam family "Y RNA". From Rfam's summary of the family: Y RNAs are components of the Ro ribonucleoprotein particle (Ro RNP), in association with Ro60 and La proteins. The Y RNAs and Ro60 and La proteins are well conserved, but the function of the Ro RNP is not known. The record is from Ensembl. NCBI's taxonomy places the organism in Eukaryota, Metazoa, Chordata, Mammalia, Primates, Hominidae.